UGGAAGCAAACAUCCUCUCUUGGCUUCUGCAGCAAAUUCCAAGUGGCAAUGGAACUUUACCUUCGCUGACUCUUUUGUUUCUUUUUUCCCGUGGAUUCUGUGCUUUUGUUUUUGUUUCUGGUUUUGGUUUUUAUAUAACUCAGAAGUUAUUUCCUAAUGUGCCAGAAAUGUUUGUGAAUUUGGUUUUAUAGCCUAUUUGAUCAUCCUUUUUAGGUGGAGACCUAUUCUGUUGGGUUAGAGAUGACAGAAAAUCUUAUUUGUCGGUUGGUUUGUUUGUUCAAGAAUACACUGACCUUCUACAAGAAAGGAGAGCUCUUUGACACCUGGAAAUUUUACAGAAGCUUGGGACAGCUCUGAAUGGCAACACGGUCCUGAGAUAUGUGAUUACCUGGGACUUUCAUUGGACCUGCAUUUCAGCUCUACUCUCCUCACUGCCCUAUGCUGCUUUGACCCUAAAAGUGAAGCCAGCUUGGCCAGGUGCAGUGACUCACACCUGUAAUCCCAGCACUUUGGGAGGCCGAGGUGGGCAAAUCAAGAAGUCAGGAAAUCGAGACCACCCUGGCCAACAUUGUGAAACACCAUCUCUACUAAAACACAAAAAAAUUAGCCAGGUGUGGUGGCACGCACCUGUAGUCCCAGCUACUCGGGAGGCUGAGGCAGGGGAAUCACUUGAACCCGUGAGGAGGAAAUUGCAGCGAGCCAAGAUCGCGCCACUGCACCCCAGCCUGGGCGACAGAGAGAGACUCCAUCUCAAAAACAAAACAAAACAAAACAAAAAAAACAAAAAGUGAAGCCAACUCAAUUGUCUCAUAGAACUGAUCUUUACGGUGUUUUUAAAUAAACAUAGAAAUUGGCCCUCCCAGUCUUAAAACUUCAAAAACUUACAUUUGUCUUACCUCAGUUCCUUUCUCAGGAAUCCAAUCAUCAAGGCUCCCAGAUAGUAUCAAUGAACGGAAACUUACCAGAUCACGAUAUCUGGACAAUGAGAUGUCAGAUCCCCCUCAUCCAUCCUGAUUACCUAACUGACUACCUGCUUCCUGUUGGCCAACUACUCUUCCUUACCCCUCCCUAAUUCUUGUUUUCCCACAAAUGGUUACAUUUCUGUCCUGCUAUAGAAGCCCUUAAUUUUAAUUGGUCGAGGAGAUGGAUUUGAGACUGAUUUUUUGCUCUCCUUGGCUGUUGCACCUGAAUAGCCUUUUUCCCUGGCAAUACUUUUUGUCUCAGUGAUUGGCUUUCUGUGCAGUGAGCAAUGGGACCAAACUUCUGGUGUUUUGGUAACAAAUUUUGGUUUCCUGACUGUGAAUGCAUUGCUUGUGACUCAGCUGCCAUGAGCUGGGAGAGUUUCAAAAGCCCUCUAAGCAGCUACCUGACCAUUUUGGCCAGAGGUGGAUUUUCGUCUCUCCCCAUUUGGGCCCACUUCUGCCAACCCCAACCAUGUUCCUGAUUGCCUAGGAAGAACAGCCUUUGAAAUUUGACGUCUAUGUACAGAAAGGUACAAACUGUUGCCUAAGGAUACAGGGUGUGUGGCUGGUGGCCUCAACAGGCCCCACGGCUCAGGCACUCAGACCCAAGCUGGUCCCUCAGACUAAAUGGUUUUCCUGGGAACUCUGACUCUGGCCACAAGAUCAAGACUGACAAAUUUCCUUUCUCUGUUUAUGGAGGGAGACUUCACAACAUUCACUGAAAGAGGAGCAAAGGACCUGGUUUUUGCCAUGACUGGCUUUGGCCCCGUGAAUGAAUGUUUUUCUGGCAUUGGAAAGCGGAUAGCAAAGAGAGCAGAACCACAAAUGGGCUAUGAGGAAAUGUGUUCAAUGAAGAAAACAAAAUCUCUGACAAGAUCCAACAUAGGACAACAUCUCAGCAUCUUCUGUGAUUUGUGAACCCAAGUAAAGCACUUCUUAGAGUUAUCUGGCACAUUCGCAACUAAUAGCUUUCUGUGAAUAAAUACUGUGGCAACCACGUUAACUGUACAAAAACAAAUUGCUUAUUUCUUAUAUCCAUGCUGGAAGAUUAUCUGGCUGACCUUAUCAGCUGUGAUGUCAGGAAUGUCAGCCAGUUAUCCUGUGGUGCAUUCAGCUGGGUCAUUGUACCCCAUCAGUGAGGCAAUUGCAAAGUUCCAUCUGGACAGAG
Molecule: long non-coding RNA, 2130 nt
Filed under: Homo sapiens (human)
Lineage: Eukaryota; Metazoa; Chordata; Mammalia; Primates; Hominidae
Description: HSALNT0058210
Source: RNAcentral